Molecule: ribosomal RNA, 253 nt
Filed under: uncultured bacterium
Lineage: Bacteria
Description: partial 16S ribosomal RNA
Rfam family: Bacterial small subunit ribosomal RNA
Source: RNAcentral
UACGGGGGGGGCGAGCGUUGUCCGAAGUUACUGGGCGUAAAGCGCGUGUAGGCGGGUUGUUAAGUCCGCUGUGAAAGCCCGGUGCUCAACGCCGGAGGGUCGGUGGAUACUGGCAGUCUUGAAGUGGCUAGGGGGAAAUGGAAUUACCGGUGUAGCGGUGAAAUGCGUAGAUAUCAAGUGGAACACCAGUGGCGAAGGCGAGUCUCUGGACAUUUCCUGACGCUGAGGCACGAAAGCCAGGGGAGCAAACGGG